This is a long non-coding RNA of Hyaena hyaena (striped hyena), 1194 nucleotides long. RefSeq lists it as uncharacterized. The record is from RefSeq and is a predicted model, not a curated record. NCBI's taxonomy places the organism in Eukaryota, Metazoa, Chordata, Mammalia, Carnivora, Hyaenidae. The transcript has 4 exons.
GGGAGGCGGGGUAAAGGCCCGGCCGGCGACUGAGAGUCGGCGGCGAAGAGAAGAUGGCGGCCAUUUUGUGUGGCAAUUCUCCAUCCAGCUCAAUGCCCUGGAUUUCUGGCUUCCAGGUCCUACAGCGUUCCCAAGGACCCAAAGGCUGGAAUCCCAAGCAUCUUACUCAGUUCACUUCCCUCCCUCCUAAGGGCCAGGAGUACAGAAAUAAAGGUUCAGGUUCAAAUGUAGGGAUACAAGUAAGAUUCUGGCACGAAGGAAAGAGGCCAAGAAUGGCUAGUGAUCCAAAGAAGUUACACUCUCUUUGAUCAAACAAUAAGAUUUACAAAACCAUGAUGCCAGUUUUGCUAGCAGGAGUUGAGAGUCUUCAUUCCUUCAAACAUUCAACAAAUAUUGAUUGGAUGUUUACUAAGAACUAGAGGAGGGAAGGGAAAGUGAUGAUUUCACCCACAAGGACUGAGAUUAUACGUGUGAAGAAUGAUUCAUGGAGUGAGAAGAGAAGGGCAUGGGGAACACAGCCAGAGAGAUACUCACAUUGAGGAGACAGCAGAAGGACAAGAGCCAGGAAAAGAACAGAGAAGGAGAGACAAGAAGCUGGGAGAAGCACAAAGUGAAGCUGGGUGAGGUCAGUAUUUCAAGGAGGACCCAAAAGGCCAAUGAGGAAGACCAAAAAGAAUGAGGCCGUCACUGGAGAUCAUAGCCACCAUGAUUUCUAUAAGACACUGUGGGCGGAAAAUAUACUCUGGUGAGUUGAGAUGUGAAUUGGAGGAGUCAUAGGCUGAGUGGUGCCUGAAGCAUGUUAAUUAAUCAUUUACCAGGCAAGCCAAAGCCAAGUAAAAUUUUGAAGUGAUUUCCUAGUACUUUCCUGUGAUACUUUUCUUGUUACUUGCCCACGGGAGUGAGAGCACCUUGAGGCCAAAAAUUAGCUUUGCUUCAGAACUGAGCCAGGGACACAGAGUAGCUCACAUCAGCACCUCCCACAUUAGACAUUAAAGGAGAAUACAUUCCAUUAUUUCACAAGUCUUUACAAAAUCCUAGUUACAGGAGGAAGUGAAACUUCCAUCUUUAAAGGUGCAGAAACUAGUAAACAAAAAACCAACCCAAUUUGCUUAAAUGAGUUGCUAAUAAGGAUAUAAGUCACAUCCAGAUCAUAAGAUUUCUUCUGAAUUAAGUUUCCCAAACACUAGACUUAUA